CUGUGUCGAGGUGGAAGGAGAUGCGGGCCUCGGCGAGGUAGGGGGUGUCGCUCUUGGAGCGCACUCUGCGGAUGGGCCGCCGGUCGAUGUCCUCCUCGGAAGAUGCCGCCAUUAAUGUGGGCACGGUAUAGGAACACAAGCAGCUUCUUUUCCUCCUUCAAGCUCCAAGUUGGUCAUAGCUUAUUCCUGUGAUGGCUCCACAUUCACAACUCGCAAGACUUCAAUGGAUCUCAUAACAAAUGAGAAUGAAUUGUCCGGCUAUAGAAAUAAGGGGGGAAAAAGCCGUAUUUGGUUUAGCUUGAAAAAUUAGAUAUGGUGUAUGACUAAAUUAAACACUUUCCCUAACCAAAGGGAUAUUAGUUGGAGAGUAUCUAUAGCAACUCUCCAUUGUACAUGACAGAUUCCUUUAGCCAAAUGCUGGCACUGCUGAAAUCAAUCCAUGUUUUACACCUGUCUUCUGUAGGCCCAGUGUUUGACCGCAUGUGAAUAAAGCACACUGGGAGACAUUAA
Molecule: long non-coding RNA, 510 nt
Organism: Dromaius novaehollandiae (emu)
Lineage: Eukaryota; Metazoa; Chordata; Aves; Casuariiformes; Dromaiidae
Exons: 2
Source: RefSeq, a predicted model, not a curated record